Molecule: ribosomal RNA, 506 nt
Filed under: uncultured bacterium
Lineage: Bacteria
Description: partial 16S ribosomal RNA
Rfam family: Bacterial small subunit ribosomal RNA
Source: RNAcentral
AUUGAACGCUGGCGGCAGGCCUAACACAUGCAAGUCGGACGGUAGCACAGAGGAGCUUGCUCCUCGGGUGACGAGUGGCGGACGGGUGAGUAAUGUCUGGGGAUCUGCCCGAUAGAGGGGGAUAACCACUGGAAACGGUGGCUAAUACCGCAUAACAUCGCAAGACCAAAGAGGGGGACCUUCGGGCCUCUCACUAUCGGAUGAACCCAGAUGGGAUUAGCUAGUAGGCGGGGUAACGGCCCACCUAGGCGACGAUCCCUAGCUGGUCCGAGAGGAUGACCAGCCACACUGGAACUGAGACACGGUCCAGACUCCUACGGGAGGCAGCAGUGGGGAAUAUUGCACAAUGGGCGCAAGCCUGAUGCAGCCAUGCCGCGUGUAUGAAGAAGGCCUUCGGGUUGUAAAGUACUUUCAGCGGGGAGGAAGGCGAUAAGGUUAAUAACCUUGUCGAUUGACGUUACCCGCAGAAGAAGCACCGGCUAACUCCGUGCCAGCAGCCGCCGUAA